RNAcentral lists this transfer RNA (82 nucleotides) under Planctomycetota bacterium. RNAcentral's name for it is "Planctomycetes bacterium (wastewater metagenome) tRNA-Tyr". It matches the Rfam family "tRNA". From Rfam's summary of the family: Transfer RNA (tRNA) molecules are approximately 80 nucleotides in length. Their secondary structure includes four short double-helical elements and three loops (D, anti-codon, and T loops). The record is from RNAcentral. Lineage: Bacteria; Pseudomonadati; Planctomycetota.
GGGUAGAUUCCCGAGUGGUCAAAGGGGAUGGACUGUAAAUCCAUUGGCAACGCCUUCGAAGGUUCGAAUCCUUCUCUGCCCA